This 434-nucleotide ribosomal RNA is filed under the name uncultured Clostridium sp. Its description in RNAcentral is "partial 16S ribosomal RNA". It matches the Rfam family "Bacterial small subunit ribosomal RNA", at positions 341 to 792 of the family's 1533-position model. The record is from RNAcentral. Lineage: Bacteria; Bacillati; Bacillota; Clostridia; Eubacteriales; Clostridiaceae.
ACGGAAGGCAGCAGUGGGGAAUAUUGGACAAUGGGGGCAACCCUGAUCCAGCGACGCCGCGUGAGUGAAGAAGUGUUUCGACAUGUAAAGCUCUAUCAGCAAGGAAGAAAAUGACGGUACUUGACUAAGAAGCCCCGGCUAACUACGUGCCAGCAGCCGCGGUAAUACGUAGGGGGCAAGCGUUAUCCGGAUUUACUGGGUGUAAAGGGAGCGUAGACGGUGAGGCAUGUCUGAAGUGAAAACCCGCAGCUCAACUGCGGGACUGCUUUGGAAACUGUCACACUAGAGUGCAGGAGGGGUAAGCGGAAUUCCUAGUGUAGCGGUGAAAUGCGUAGAUAUUAGGAGGAACACCGGAGGCGAAGGCGGCUUACUGGACUGUAACUGACGUUGAGGCUCGAAAGCGUGGGGAGCAAACAGGAUUAGAUACCCUGGUA